This 580-nucleotide ribosomal RNA is filed under the name Mycoplasma haemofelis. RNAcentral describes it as "bacterial SSU rRNA". It matches the Rfam family "Bacterial small subunit ribosomal RNA", at positions 404 to 1003 of the family's 1533-position model. The record is from RNAcentral. Lineage: Bacteria; Bacillati; Mycoplasmatota; Mollicutes; Mycoplasmatales; Mycoplasmataceae.
AACGAUGAAGGCCUUUUUGGUUGUAAAGUUCUUUUACGAGGGAUAAUUAUGAUAGUACUUCGUGAAUAAGUGACAGCAAACUAUGUGCCAGCAGCUGCGGUAAUACAUAGGUCGCGAGCAUUAUUCGGAUUUAUUGGGCGUAAAGCAAGCGCAGGCGGAUGUGUAAGUUCUGUGUUAAAUGCAGCUACUCAAUAGUUGUAUGCACCGAAUACUACAUGUCUAGAUUGUGGUAGGGAGUUUCGGAAUUAAGCAUGGAGCGGUGGAAUGUGUAGAUAUGCUUAAGAACACCAGAGGCGAAGGCGGAAACUUAGGCCAUAAAUGACGCUUAGGCUUGAAAGUGUGGGGAGCAAAUGGGAUUAGAUACCCCAGUAGUCCACACCGUAAACGAUGGGUAUUAGAUAUUAGGGCUUUAGCUUUAGUGUUGUAGCUUACGCGUUAAAUACCCCGCCUGGGUAGUACAUAUGCAAAUAUGAAACUCAAAGGAAUUGACGGGGACCUGAACAAGUGGUGGAGCAUGUUGCUUAAUUCGAUAAUACACGAAAAACCUUACCAAGGUUUGACAUCCCUCGCAAAGCUAUAG